RNAcentral lists this Y RNA (113 nucleotides) under Propithecus coquereli (Coquerel's sifaka). RNAcentral's name for it is "Y RNA (ENSPCOG00000007573.1)". It matches the Rfam family "Y RNA". From Rfam's summary of the family: Y RNAs are components of the Ro ribonucleoprotein particle (Ro RNP), in association with Ro60 and La proteins. The record is from Rfam by way of RNAcentral. Lineage: Eukaryota; Metazoa; Chordata; Mammalia; Primates; Indriidae.
GGCUGGCUCGAAGGUAGUGAGUUAUCUUACUUGAUUGUUCAUAGUCAGUUACAGAUCGACUCUUUGCUCUACUACUUUCCCCGCUUUUCACUACUGUACUUGACUACUCUCAA